GAGAUGACUCUCGGCAACGGAUAUCUAGGCUCUUGCCACGAUGAAGAACGUAGCGAAAUGCGAUACUUGGUGUGAAUUGCAGAAUCCCGUGAACCAUCAAGUUUUUGAACGCAAGUUGCACCCGAGGCCACCAGGCCAAGGGCACGCCUGCCUGGGCGUCACGC
Molecule: ribosomal RNA, 164 nt
Filed under: Illicium difengpi
Lineage: Eukaryota; Viridiplantae; Streptophyta; Magnoliopsida; Austrobaileyales; Schisandraceae
Description: 5.8S ribosomal RNA
Rfam family: 5.8S ribosomal RNA
About the family: 5.8S ribosomal RNA (5.8S rRNA) is a component of the large subunit of the eukaryotic ribosome. It is transcribed by RNA polymerase I as part of the 45S precursor that also contains 18S and 28S rRNA. Functionally, it is thought that 5.8S rRNA may be involved in ribosome translocation.
Source: RNAcentral